Molecule: ribosomal RNA, 495 nt
Filed under: uncultured bacterium
Lineage: Bacteria
Description: partial 16S ribosomal RNA
Rfam family: Bacterial small subunit ribosomal RNA
Source: RNAcentral
ACGAACGCUGGCGGCGUGCCUAAUCCAUGCAAGUAGAACGCUGAAGAGAGGAGCUUGCUCUUCUUGGAUGAGUUGCGAACGGGUGAGUAACGCGUAGGUAACCUGCCUUGUAGCGGGGGAUAACUAUUGGAAACGAUAGCUAAUACCGCAUAACAAUGGAUGACCCAUGUCAUUUAUUUGAAAGGGGCAAAUGCUCCACUACAAGAUGGACCUGCGUUGUAUUAGCUAGUAGGUGAGGUAACGGCUCACCUAGGCGACGAUACAUAGCCGACCUGAGAGGGUGAUCGGCCACACUGGGACUGAGACACGGCCCAGACUCCUACGGGAGGCAGCAGUAGGGAAUCUUCGGCAAUGGGGGCAACCCUGACCGAGCAACGCCGCGUGAGUGAAGAAGGUUUUCGGAUCGUAAAGCUCUGUUGUAAGUCAAGAACGAGUGUGAGAGUGGAAAGUUCACACUGUGACGGUAGCUUACCAGAAAGGGACGGCUAACUACGU